UGGGGAAUUUUCCGCAAUGGGCGGAAGCCUGACGGAGCAACGCCGCGUGAGGGAGGAAGGCUUUUGGGUUGUAAACCUCUUUUCUCAAGGAAGAUAGUGACGGUACUUGAGGAAUCAGCAUCGGCUGACUCCGUGCCAGCAGCCGCGGUAAUACGGAGGAUGCAAGCGUUAUCCGGAAUAAUUGGGCGUAAAGCGUCCGCAGGCGGCCGUUCAAGUCUGCUGUCAAAGCCCGCAGCUCAACUGUGGAUGGGCAGUGGAAACUGAAUGGCUAGAGCGUGGUAGGGGUAGAGGGAAUUCCUAGUGUAGCGGUGAAAUGCGUAGAUAUUAGGAAGAACACCAGUGGCGAAGGCGCUCUACUGGGCCACGACUGACGCUGAGGGACGAAAGCUAGGGGAGCGAAAGGGAUUAGAUACCCCUGUAGUCC
RNAcentral lists this ribosomal RNA (424 nucleotides) under uncultured prokaryote. RNAcentral describes it as "bacterial SSU rRNA". It matches the Rfam family "Bacterial small subunit ribosomal RNA", at positions 355 to 796 of the family's 1533-position model. The record is from RNAcentral.